AUUUGUGUUGGUCGGCCGGUGUCGUCCGCAUACUAGGCGUGGGUUGGUUGUCCCCCUUAGGCUUGUGCCCCCGAGGGCCUGGUCGCUUGCUGGCGGGUGGUCUUCUGGAUCUGUGGUCUGGUAGGUGGGUUCUGGGUACCCGUGGCAGGUGUAUAUAGUGCUAAUUGGUCUGGCCAUUGCAUGUGAGCAGGGGUUAGUUGGAGUUCCUCCGCGAGGUCAUUCAGGUCUUUCCUGUCCUUGACGAUGAAGGGGCCUUU
Non-coding RNA from Pelobates cultripes (western spadefoot toad), 257 nucleotides. NCBI's taxonomy places the organism in Eukaryota, Metazoa, Chordata, Amphibia, Anura, Pelobatidae. The record is from the annotation of a GenBank genome assembly.